This 253-nucleotide ribosomal RNA is filed under the name Gemmiger formicilis. Its description in RNAcentral is "partial 16S ribosomal RNA". It matches the Rfam family "Bacterial small subunit ribosomal RNA", at positions 524 to 776 of the family's 1533-position model. The record is from RNAcentral. Lineage: Bacteria; Bacillati; Bacillota; Clostridia; Eubacteriales; Oscillospiraceae.
AACGUAGGGUGCAAGCGUUGUCCGGAAUUACUGGGUGUAAAGGGGGCGCAGGCGGACCGGCAAGUUGGAAGUGAAAACUAUGGGCUCAACCCAUAAAUUGCUUUCAAAACUGCUGGCCUUGAGUAGUGCAGAGGUAGGUGGAAUUCCCGGUGUAGCGGUGGAAUGCGUAGAUAUCGGGAGGAACACCAGUGGCGAAGGCGACCUACUGGGCACCAACUGACGCUGAGGCUCGAAAGCAUGGGUAGCAAACAGG